UCUAGAACUCGAGAUAUGGGCUGAAUACUAAACAGUGUCUGGAUUGCAGGAUAGAUUCUGACUUCUCCGUUGUUGCUACAAUUGGAACUUGAAAACGGUCCUUUUGAAUCUUGGACUCUUCAUGAAAGUUUUAGGCCUAUUUCUUAGCUUUCCAUA
This is a non-coding RNA of Populus trichocarpa (black cottonwood), 156 nucleotides long. NCBI's taxonomy places the organism in Eukaryota, Viridiplantae, Streptophyta, Magnoliopsida, Malpighiales, Salicaceae. The record is from Rfam.